This 500-nucleotide ribosomal RNA is filed under the name uncultured bacterium. Its description in RNAcentral is "partial 16S ribosomal RNA". It matches the Rfam family "Bacterial small subunit ribosomal RNA", at positions 30 to 523 of the family's 1533-position model. The record is from RNAcentral.
AUUGAACGCUGGCGGAAUGCUUUACACAUGCAAGUCGAACGGCAGCACGGACUUCGGUCUGGUGGCGAGUGGCGAACGGGUGAGUAAUGUAUCGGAACGUGCCCAGUCGUGGGGGAUAACGUAGUGAAAAUUACGCUAAUACCGCAUACGAUCUAUGGAUGAAAGCGGGGGAUCGCAAGCCCUCGCGCGAUUGGAGCGGCCAAUAUCAGAGUAGGUAGUUGGUGGGGUAAAGGCCCACCAAGCCAACGAUCUGUAGCUGGUCUGAGAGGACGACCAGCCACACGGGAACUGAGACACGGUCCAGACUCCUACGGGAGGCAGCAGUGGGGAAUUUUGGACAAUGGGCGAAAGCCUGAUCCAGCCAUUCCGCGUGCAGGAUGAAGGCCCUCGGGUUGUAAACUGCUUUUGUACAGAACGAAAAGGUUUCUACUAAUACUAGGAGCUCAUGACGGUACUGUAAGAAUAAGCACCGGCUAACUACGUGCCAGCAGCCGCCGUAA